UCUACGGGAGGCUGCAGUGGGGAAUAUUGCACAAUGGGCGCAAGCCUGAUGCAGCCAUGCCGCGUGUGUGAAGAAGGCCUUCGGGUUGUAAAGCACUUUCAGCGGGGAGGAAGGCGGUGAGGUUAAUAACCUCAUCGAUUGACGUUACCCGCAGGAGAAGCACCGGCUAACUCCGUGCCAGCAGCCGCGGUAAUACGGAGGGUGCAAGCGUUAAUCGGAAUUACUGGGCGUAAAGCGCACGCAGGCGGUCUGUCAAGUCGGAUGUGAAAUCCCCGGGCUCAACCUGGGAACUGCAUUCGAAACUGGCAGGCUAGAGUCUUGUAGAGGGGGGUAGAAUUCCAGGUGUAGCGGUGAAAUGCGUAGAGAUCUGGAGGAAUACCGGUGGCGAAGGCGGCCCCCUGGACAAAGACUGACGCUCAGGUGCGAAAGCGUGGGGAGCAAACAGGAUUAGAUACCCGUGUAGUC
Molecule: ribosomal RNA, 465 nt
Filed under: uncultured Klebsiella sp.
Lineage: Bacteria; Pseudomonadati; Pseudomonadota; Gammaproteobacteria; Enterobacterales; Enterobacteriaceae
Description: bacterial SSU rRNA
Rfam family: Bacterial small subunit ribosomal RNA
Source: RNAcentral